UUGUUGAACACACUUUCAUUAGUCUUUGGUUCAUUUAUUUGUGUAUUUGGACCCUAAUAGUUCAUACAGUUUGAAUUUGAACCCUCCAGGUGCUGCAGAGCUAUCUUUAUACUCAUUUUGGUAAUAAUCGAGUGGAUUUCUACAAUCUGUUUUAAUUUCUUCUUAAUUUGUUACGUUUACAACUAGUUACGUCAUGACAUUUGCACAUAUAAGGUCAAGAC
Long non-coding RNA from Sphaeramia orbicularis (orbiculate cardinalfish), 221 nucleotides. RefSeq lists it as uncharacterized. Lineage: Eukaryota; Metazoa; Chordata; Actinopteri; Kurtiformes; Apogonidae. The transcript is spliced from 3 exons. The record is from RefSeq and is a predicted model, not a curated record.